GAGGAAAAGAAACCAACAGGGAUUGCCUUAGUAGCGGCGAGUGAAGCGGCAAAAGCUCAAAUUUGAAAUCUGGCACCUUCGGUGUCCGAGUUGUAAUUUGAAGAUUGUAACCUUGGGGUUGGCUCUUGUCUAUGUUUCUUGGAACAGGACGUCACAGAGGGUGAGAAUCCCGUGCGAUGAGAUGCCCAAUCCUAUGUAAGGUGCUUUCGAAGAGUCGAGUUGUUUGGGAAUGCAGCUCUAAGUGGGUGGUAAAUUCCAUCUAAAGCUAAAUAUUGGCGAGAGACCGAUAGCGAACAAGUACAGUGAUGGAAAGAUGAAAAGAACUUUGAAAAGAGAGUGAAAAAGUACGUGAAAUUGUUGAAAGGGAAGGGUUUGAGAUCAGACUCGAUAUUUUGUGAGCCUUGCCUUCGUGGCGGGGUGACCCGCAGCUUAUCGGGCCAGCAUCGGUUUGGGCGGUAGGAUAAUGGCGUAGGAAUGUGACUUUGCUUCGGUGAAGUGUUAUAGCCUGCGUUGAUGCUGCCUGCCUAGACCGAGGACUGCGAUUUUAUCAAGGAUGCUGGCAUAAUGAUCC
This 571-nucleotide ribosomal RNA is filed under the name Meyerozyma caribbica. RNAcentral's name for it is "eukaryotic LSU rRNA". It matches the Rfam family "Eukaryotic large subunit ribosomal RNA", at positions 53 to 640 of the family's 3401-position model. Lineage: Eukaryota; Fungi; Ascomycota; Pichiomycetes; Serinales; Debaryomycetaceae. The record is from RNAcentral.